GACAGAGGUCCCGAGCGUUAGGCGGAAUCACUGGGCUUAAAGCGUGUGUAGGCGGAUGCCUAAGUCCCUUGUGAAAUCCCACGGCUCACCCGUGGAACUGCUUGGUAUACUGGGUGUCUUGAGCCACUUAGGGGCUACCGGAACAAAUGGUGGAGCGGUGAAAUGCGUAGAUAUCAUUUGGAACGCCAAUGGUGAAAACAGGUAGCUGGGAGUGUGCUGACGCUGAGACACGAAAGCCAGGGGAGCAAACGGG
Molecule: ribosomal RNA, 253 nt
Filed under: uncultured bacterium
Lineage: Bacteria
Description: partial 16S ribosomal RNA
Rfam family: Bacterial small subunit ribosomal RNA
Source: RNAcentral